Molecule: transfer RNA, 74 nt
Filed under: Actinobaculum suis
Lineage: Bacteria; Bacillati; Actinomycetota; Actinomycetes; Actinomycetales; Actinomycetaceae
Description: tRNA-Glu(ctc)
Rfam family: tRNA
About the family: Transfer RNA (tRNA) molecules are approximately 80 nucleotides in length.
Source: RNAcentral
GCCCCGUUCGUCUAGCGGCCUAGGACACCGCCCUCUCACGGCGGCAACACCGGUUCAAAUCCGGUACGGGGUAC